GGUUAAGCGACUAAGCGUACACGGUGGAUGCCCUGGCAGUCAGAGGCGAUGAAGGACGUGCUAAUCUGCGAUAAGCGUCGGUAAGGUGAUAUGAACCGUUAUAACCGGCGAUUUCCGAAUGGGGAAACCCAGUGUGUUUCGACACACUAUCAUUAACUGAAUCCAUAGGUUAAUGAGGCGAACCGGGGGAACUGAAACAUCUAAGUACCCCGAGGAAAAGAAAUCAACCGAGAUUCCCCCAGUAGCGGCGAGCGAACGGGGAGGAGCCCAGAGCCUGAAUCAGUGUGUGUGUUAGUGGAAGCGUCUGGAAAGGCGCGCGAUACAGGGUGACAGCCCCGUACACAAAAAUGCACAUACUGUGAGCUCGAUGAGUAGGGCGGGACACGUGGUAUCCUGUCUGAAUAUGGGGGGACCAUCCUCCAAGGCUAAAUACUCCUGACUGACCGAUAGUGAACCAGUACCGUGAGGGAAAGGCGAAAAGAACCCCGGCGAGGGGAGUGAAAAAGAACCUGAAACCGUGUACGUACAAGCAGUGGGAGCCUCUUUUAUGGGGUGACUGCGUACCUUUUGUAUAAUGGGUCAGCGACUUAUAUUCUGUAGCAAGGUUAACCGAAUAGGGGAGCCGAAGGGAAACCGAGUCUUAACUGGGCGUUAAGUUGCAGGGUAUAGACCCGAAACCCGGUGAUCUAGCCAUGGGCAGGUUGAAGGUUGGGUAACACUAACUGGAGGACCGAACCGACUAAUGUUGAAAAAUUAGCGGAUGACUUGUGGCUGGGGGUGAAAGGCCAAUCAAACCGGGAGAUAGCUGGUUCUCCCCGAAAGCUAUUUAGGUAGCGCCUCGUGAAUUCAUCUCCGGGGGUAGAGCACUGUUUCGGCAAGGGGGUCAUCCCGACUUACCAACCCGAUGCAAACUGCGAAUACCGGAGAAUGUUAUCACGGGAGACACACGGCGGGUGCUAACGUCCGUCGUGAAGAGGGAAACAACCCAGACCGCCAGCUAAGGUCCCAAAGUCAUGGUUAAGUGGGAAACGAUGUGGGAAGGCCCAGACAGCCAGGAUGUUGGCUUAGAAGCAGCCAUCAUUUAAAGAAAGCGUAAUAGCUCACUGGUCGAGUCGGCCUGCGCGGAAGAUGUAACGGGGCUAAACCAUGCACCGAAGCUGCGGCAGCGACACUGUGUGUUGUUGGGUAGGGGAGCGUUCUGUAAGCCUGUGAAGGUGUGCUGUGAGGCAUGCUGGAGGUAUCAGAAGUGCGAAUGCUGACAUAAGUAACGAUAAAGCGGGUGAAAAGCCCGCUCGCCGGAAGACCAAGGGUUCCUGUCCAACGUUAAUCGGGGCAGGGUGAGUCGACCCCUAAGGCGAGGCCGAAAGGCGUAGUCGAUGGGAAACAGGUUAAUAUUCCUGUACUUGGUGUUACUGCGAAGGGGGGACGGAGAAGGCUAUGUUGGCCGGGCGACGGUUGUCCCGGUUUAAGCGUGUAGGCUGGUUUUCCAGGCAAAUCCGGAAAAUCAAGGCUGAGGCGUGAUGACGAGGCACUACGGUGCUGAAGCAACAAAUGCCCUGCUUCCAGGAAAAGCCUCUAAGCAUCAGGUAACAUCAAAUCGUACCCCAAACCGACACAGGUGGUCAGGUAGAGAAUACCAAGGCGCUUGAGAGAACUCGGGUGAAGGAACUAGGCAAAAUGGUGCCGUAACUUCGGGAGAAGGCACGCUGAUAUGUAGGUGAAGUCCCUCGCGGAUGGAGCUGAAAUCAGUCGAAGAUACCAGCUGGCUGCAACUGUUUAUUAAAAACACAGCACUGUGCAAACACGAAAGUGGACGUAUACGGUGUGACGCCUGCCCGGUGCCGGAAGGUUAAUUGAUGGGGUCAGCGCAAGCGAAGCUCUUGAUCGAAGCCCCGGUAAACGGCGGCCGUAACUAUAACGGUCCUAAGGUAGCGAAAUUCCUUGUCGGGUAAGUUCCGACCUGCACGAAUGGCGUAAUGAUGGCCAGGCUGUCUCCACCCGAGACUCAGUGAAAUUGAACUCGCUGUGAAGAUGCAGUGUACCCGCGGCAAGACGGAAAGACCCCGUGAACCUUUACUAUAGCUUGACACUGAACAUUGAGCCUUGAUGUGUAGGAUAGGUGGGAGGCUUUGAAGUGUGGACGCCAGUCUGCAUGGAGCCGACCUUGAAAUACCACCCUUUAAUGUUUGAUGUUCUAACGUGGACCCGUGAUCCGGGUUGCGGACAGUGUCUGGUGGGUAGUUUGACUGGGGCGGUCUCCUCCUAAAGAGUAACGGAGGAGCACGAAGGUUGGCUAAUCCUGGUCGGACAUCAGGAGGUUAGUGCAAUGGCAUAAGCCAGCUUGACUGCGAGCGUGACGGCGCGAGCAGGUGCGAAAGCAGGUCAUAGUGAUCCGGUGGUUCUGAAUGGAAGGGCCAUCGCUCAACGGAUAAAAGGUACUCCGGGGAUAACAGGCUGAUACCGCCCAAGAGUUCAUAUCGACGGCGGUGUUUGGCACCUCGAUGUCGGCUCAUCACAUCCUGGGGCUGAAGUAGGUCCCAAGGGUAUGGCUGUUCGCCAUUUAAAGUGGUACGCGAGCUGGGUUUAGAACGUCGUGAGACAGUUCGGUCCCUAUCUGCCGUGGGCGCUGGAGAACUGAGGGGGGCUGCUCCUAGUACGAGAGGACCGGAGUGGACGCAUCACUGGUGUUCGGGUUGUCAUGCCAAUGGCACUGCCCGGUAGCUAAAUGCGGAAGAGAUAAGUGCUGAAAGCAUCUAAGCACGAAACUUGCCCCGAGAUGAGUUCUCCCUGACCCUUUAAGGGUCCUGAAGGAACGUUGAAGACGACGACGUUGAUAGGCCGGGUGUGUAAGCGCAGCGAUGCGUUGAGCUAACCGGUACUAAUGAACCGUGAGGCUUAACCUUAC
RNAcentral lists this ribosomal RNA (2905 nucleotides) under Escherichia coli O55:H7 str. RM12579. RNAcentral describes it as "bacterial LSU rRNA". It matches the Rfam family "Bacterial large subunit ribosomal RNA". Lineage: Bacteria; Pseudomonadati; Pseudomonadota; Gammaproteobacteria; Enterobacterales; Enterobacteriaceae. The record is from RNAcentral.